GGAGGCGUGGCAGAGUGGUUGAAUGCACCGGUCUUGAAAACCGACGAGGGGGCAACUCCUCCGUGGGUUCGAAUCCCACCGCCUCCGCCA
Molecule: transfer RNA, 90 nt
Filed under: Paracoccus jeotgali
Lineage: Bacteria; Pseudomonadati; Pseudomonadota; Alphaproteobacteria; Rhodobacterales; Paracoccaceae
Description: tRNA-Ser
Rfam family: tRNA
About the family: Transfer RNA (tRNA) molecules are approximately 80 nucleotides in length.
Source: RNAcentral